This 349-nucleotide ribosomal RNA is filed under the name uncultured bacterium. RNAcentral describes it as "bacterial SSU rRNA". It matches the Rfam family "Bacterial small subunit ribosomal RNA", at positions 917 to 1267 of the family's 1533-position model. The record is from RNAcentral.
GGGCCCGCACAAGCGGUGGAGUAUGUGGUUUAAUUCGAUGAUACGCGAGGAACCUUACCAGGGCUUAAAUGCAGAACGACAGAGGUGGAAACACCUCCUUCUUCGGACGGUCUGCAAGGUGCUGCAUGGUUGUCGUCAGCUCGUGCUGUGAAGUGUCGGGUUAAGUCCCAUAACGAGCGCAACCCCUAUUUCUAGUUGCCAGCGGUUCGGCCGGGGACUCUAGAGAAACUGCCAGCGUAAGCUGUGAGGAAGGUGGGGAUGACGUCAAAUCAUCACGGCCCUUACGUCCUGGGGCUACACACGUGCUACAAUGGUAGGGACAGAGAGUUGCCAACCCCGCGAGGGUGAG